RNAcentral lists this ribosomal RNA (225 nucleotides) under uncultured Chryseobacterium sp. RNAcentral describes it as "partial 16S ribosomal RNA". It matches the Rfam family "Bacterial small subunit ribosomal RNA", at positions 568 to 792 of the family's 1533-position model. The record is from RNAcentral. Lineage: Bacteria; Pseudomonadati; Bacteroidota; Flavobacteriia; Flavobacteriales; Weeksellaceae.
UCCGUAGGCGGAUGUGUAAGUCAGUGGUGAAAUCUCACAGCUUAACUGUGAAACUGCCAUUGAUACUGCAUGUCUUGAGUAAGGUAGAAGUGGCUGGAAUAAGUAGUGUAGCGGUGAAAUGCAUAGAUAUUACUUAGAACACCAAUUGCGAAGGCAGGUCACUAUGUCUUAACUGACGCUGAUGGACGAAAGCGUGGGGAGCGAACAGGAUUAGAUACCCGUGUA